This 303-nucleotide ribosomal RNA is filed under the name uncultured bacterium. Its description in RNAcentral is "partial 16S ribosomal RNA". It matches the Rfam family "Bacterial small subunit ribosomal RNA", at positions 507 to 807 of the family's 1533-position model. The record is from RNAcentral.
AGCAGUCGCCGCGGGAAUACAGAGGGUGCGAGCGUUAAUCGGAUUUACUGGGCGUAAAGCGUGCGCAGGCGGUGUUGUAAGACUGAUGUGAAAUCCCCGGGCUCAACCUGGGAACUGCAUUGGUGACUGCAACGCUGGAGUGCGGCAGAGGGGGAUGGAAUUCCGCGUGUAGCAGUGAAAUGCGUAGAUAUGCGGAGGAACACCGAUGGCGAAGGCAAUCCCCUGGGCCUGCACUGACGCUCAUGCACGAAAGCGUGGGGAGCAAACAGGAUUAGAUACCCCCGUAGUCCCUGUCUCUUAUAC